RNAcentral lists this ribosomal RNA (253 nucleotides) under uncultured bacterium. RNAcentral describes it as "partial 16S ribosomal RNA". It matches the Rfam family "Bacterial small subunit ribosomal RNA", at positions 524 to 776 of the family's 1533-position model. The record is from RNAcentral.
GACGGAAGGUGCAAGCGUUGCUCGGAAUCACUGGGCGUAAAGGGUGCGUAGGCGGCCGUGCAAGUCUGGCGUGAAAGCCCCGGGCUCAGCCCGGGAAGUGCGCUCGAAACUGCGCGGCUCGAGUGCCGGAGGGGAGAGUGGAAUUCCUGGUGUAGCGGUGAAAUGCGUAGAUAUCAGGAGGAAUACCGGUGGCGAAAGCGACUCUCUGGGCAACAACUGACGCUGAGGAGCGAAAGCGUGGGGAGCGAACAGG